CCUACGGGCGGCAGCAGUGAGGAAUAUUGGUCAAUGGACGAGAGUCUGAACCAGCCAAGUAGCGUGAAGGAUGACUGCCCUAUGGGUUGUAAACUUCUUUUAUAAAGGAAUAAAACGAGGCACGUGUGCCUUUUUGCAUGUACUUUAUGAAUAAGGAUCGGCUAACUCCGUGCCAGCAGCCGCGGUAAUACGGAGGAUCCGAGCGUUCUCCGGAUUUAUUGGGUUUAAAGGGAGCGUAGAUGGGUUGUUAAGUCAGUUGUGAAAGUUUGCGGCUCAACCGUAAAAUUGCAAUUGAUACUGGCAGUCUUGAGUACAGUUGAGGUAGGCGGAAUUCGUGGUGUAGCGGUGAAAUGCUUAGAUAUCACGAAGAACCCCGAUGGCGAAGGCAGCUUACUAAACUGUGACUGACAUUGAUGCUCGAAAGUGUGGGGAUCAAACAGGAUUAGAUACCCUUGUAGUC
RNAcentral lists this ribosomal RNA (460 nucleotides) under uncultured bacterium. RNAcentral describes it as "partial 16S ribosomal RNA". It matches the Rfam family "Bacterial small subunit ribosomal RNA", at positions 338 to 795 of the family's 1533-position model. The record is from RNAcentral.